CAGAGCUGGAGUCAUCAGACUUGAAUGGCCUUGAAACCGUGGGAAUGGAUUAGCUCUCCCAAGGAGAUGCGUUAGCUUUCAUAAUGCUGGAAGGUGCUGUGCAGGCCACUAAGGUGGAGAAUUCAUCAGUGACCUUACAAAUCACUAGACUCUGACCUGCCAGGCAGGAUGUACCCACUCGUGCAACUCGUGAAUGUUAUGAGGGCAUCCAACCACUUUCUGGUUGGACUUGAGGACAACUUCAAGGGAGAAAAAUCGUGCCUGAAACAAAACAAAACAAACAACGAUGCCGUCGAUGAUGAUGACAAAACCAUAAGAAUCCUGCUUUGAACGCUGGGUUAUUUAGAAAUAAAUGCAUUGCUUAGUCUCAA
Molecule: long non-coding RNA, 371 nt
Organism: Mastomys coucha (southern multimammate mouse)
Lineage: Eukaryota; Metazoa; Chordata; Mammalia; Rodentia; Muridae
Exons: 3
Source: RefSeq, a predicted model, not a curated record